Molecule: ribosomal RNA, 460 nt
Filed under: uncultured bacterium
Lineage: Bacteria
Description: partial 16S ribosomal RNA
Rfam family: Bacterial small subunit ribosomal RNA
Source: RNAcentral
CCUACGGGAGGCAGCAGUGAGGAAUAUUGGUCAAUGGACGCAAGUCUGAACCAGCCAUGCCGCGUGCAGGAAGACGGCUCUAUGAGGUGUAAACUGCUGUUGUACGAGGGUAAACGCAGAUACGCGUAUCUGUCUGAAAGUAUCGUACGAAUAAGGAUGGGCUAACUCCGUGCCAGCAGCCGCGGUAAUACGGAGGAUUCAAGCGUUAUCCGGAUUUAUUGGGUUUAAAGGGUGCGUAGGCGGUCGGAUAAGUUAGAGGUGAAAUCCCGAGGCUCAACUUCGGAAUUGCCUCUGAUACUGUUCGGCUAGAGCGUAGUUGCGGUAGGCGGAAUGUAUGGUGUAGCGGUGAAAUGCUUAGAGAUCAUACAGAACACCGAUUGCGAAGGCAGCUUACCAAGCUACUUCUGACGUUGAGGCACGAAAGCGUGGGGAGCAAACAGGAUUAGCUACCCUUGUAGUC